Molecule: long non-coding RNA, 442 nt
Filed under: Homo sapiens (human)
Lineage: Eukaryota; Metazoa; Chordata; Mammalia; Primates; Hominidae
Description: HSALNT0406526
Source: RNAcentral
CCCUCCUCCAGGAAGCUCCCAGCCUAGCUGGCGAGCAUGGCCUCCCUUCUCCUCCUGGCCUCCCUUCUCCUCCUGGCCUCCCUUCUCCUCCUGGCUCCACGCCUUCUCUUUGCUUCCUCCCAUUGCCGUUUCUCCUGACGAUCUAAGAAAGAGCAGAAGCCUGAAAUUGGGACCUGGAGGGGACGUCUCUAAUCAAUCUUUGUCCUGGACGUGGGGACGCCGGCGCUGUGGUGCCUGCCCAGCACAUCCUGAGAUGACGCCACUGCUCCUCUUUGGCCCUGCUGAACUGUAUUCCAUGCUGGCUGUCUUUUUCCUGCAUGUAUGUUAAAGAGAUUGAAAAGUGAAGAUACCAGUGGGGUGAUCUGCAGGAGCAGGCCGGCGGGGAGCAGCGGCUUUAUUUAUUUACUUCAUCGGGAAAAGAGGCCGUGCAGUGAAAUGGUAA